RNAcentral lists this ribosomal RNA (497 nucleotides) under uncultured bacterium. RNAcentral's name for it is "partial 16S ribosomal RNA". It matches the Rfam family "Bacterial small subunit ribosomal RNA", at positions 28 to 507 of the family's 1533-position model. The record is from RNAcentral.
GAUGAACGCUGGCGGCGUGCCUAAUACAUGCAAGUCGAGCGAACGGACGAGAAGCUUGCUUCUCUGAUGUUAGCGGCGGACGGGUGAGUAACACGUGGAUAACCUACCUAUAAGACUGGGAUAACUUCGGGAAACCGGAGCUAAUACCGGAUGAUAUUUUGAACCGCAUGGUUCAAAAGUGAAAGACGGUCUUGCUGUCACUUAUAGAUGGAUCCGCGCUGCAUUAGCUAGUUGGUAAGGUAACGGCUUACCAAGGCAACGAUGCAUAGCCGACCUGAGAGGGUGAUCGGCCACACUGGAACUGAGACACGGUCCAGACUCCUACGGGAGGCAGCAGUAGGGAAUCUUCCGCAGUGGGCGAAAGCCUGACGGAGCAACGCCGCGUGAGUGAUGAAGGUCUUCGGAUCGUAAAACUCUGUUAUUAGGGAAGAACAUAUGUGUAAGUAACUGUGCACAUCUUGACGGUACCUAAUCAGAAAGCCACGGCUAACUACGUG